GUGGGGAAUUUUGGACAAUGGGCGCAAGCCUGAUCCAGCAAUGCCGCGUGCAGGAAGAAGGCCUUCGGGUUGUAAACUGCUUUUGUACGGAACGAAACGGUCCGGGUUAAUACCCUGGGCUAAUGACGGUACCGUAAGAAUAAGCACCGGCUAACUACGUGCCAGCAGCCGCGGUAAUACGUAGGGUGCAAGCGUUAAUCGGAAUUACUGGGCGUAAAGCGUGCGCAGGCGGUUUUGUAAGACAGGCGUGAAAUCCCCGGGCUCAACCUGGGGAUUGCGCUUGUGACUGCAAGGCUGGAGUGCGGCCGAGGGGGAUGGAAUUCCGCGUGUAGCAGUGAAAUGCGUAGAUAUGCGGAGGAACACCGAUGGCGAAGGCAAUCCCCUGGGCCUGCACUGACGCUCAUGCACGAAAGCGUGGGGAGCAAACAGGAUUAGAAACCCGUGUAGUCC
Molecule: ribosomal RNA, 450 nt
Filed under: uncultured bacterium
Lineage: Bacteria
Description: partial 16S ribosomal RNA
Rfam family: Bacterial small subunit ribosomal RNA
Source: RNAcentral